RNAcentral lists this transfer RNA (61 nucleotides) under Bacteriophage sp. RNAcentral describes it as "tRNA-Ser". It matches the Rfam family "tRNA", at positions 7 to 64 of the family's 71-position model. Rfam says of the family: Transfer RNA (tRNA) molecules are approximately 80 nucleotides in length. Their secondary structure includes four short double-helical elements and three loops (D, anti-codon, and T loops). The record is from RNAcentral.
GUAGCUCAGAGGAUAGAGCAGCUCCCUGCUAAGGAGCGGGUCGCGGGUUCGAGUCCCGCCU